CGAGUAUCGUGUGCGCCACUUUGUUGAUUAACCAUGUCUUUUCCAGGUUCGGUCUGCCUCAAAGAAUUGAGUCAGACAGAGGUAGUCACUUUACCAGCGAAGUAAUGGCUAAGAUGUGGAACAUUCUAGGUGUUAAGCGAAAGCUACAUAUUGCAUACCGCGCUGCGUCUAGCGGGGGGGUAGAGCGAUAUAACCAGUCUAUCGUUAAUAUUCUGAAGAAAUAUGUUAAGGAGUCUGGUAAAGACUGGGACAUUAAAUCGGCCCUAGUUUUAAUGGCGAUUAGAGCUACACCUAGCACUGCUACCAAAUUGUCACCUUUUGAAUUGAUGACAGGAAGAAAGAUGGUUUUACCACAGCAUUUACUAUAUCGUACUUCAGAUCAUAACUUGAUCAAUGCUGCCACUACGCAUCAGUAUAUCGAAGAUUUGCGCAAG
Molecule: non-coding RNA, 434 nt
Organism: Pelobates cultripes (western spadefoot toad)
Lineage: Eukaryota; Metazoa; Chordata; Amphibia; Anura; Pelobatidae
Source: the annotation of a GenBank genome assembly